GUUUCAGUUGAGGCUUCAUGUCCAACUGCAGUGACACUGUUCACUCAAGACCACUGGUGACUCCCCAGGGUUCAGAUGCUGUGACUCAUUCCAGUCCUGGUUCACCCCAUUCUUUCUGCACUAUUUGACAGUGCCGCCCUUCUCGUCCUCCUGAGACUGUAUCCUAGCUCUCUCAUCUUAGGUGAAAAUGUUCCCCUUGCCUCCCUAUACCAGUCUCCCAAAGUUCACUCAUAUUUCAAAUCUCAUUUCAGACUUCUCAUGCAUGAAACUCUUAUGUUUUAGAAUUAACCUAUACUCAUAUUAACAG
Molecule: long non-coding RNA, 307 nt
Filed under: Homo sapiens (human)
Lineage: Eukaryota; Metazoa; Chordata; Mammalia; Primates; Hominidae
Description: HSALNT0125682
Source: RNAcentral